CAGUCGCCACGGUAACACGGAGGGUGCAAGCGUUAAUCGGAAUUACUGGGCGUAAAGCGCACGCAGGCGGUCUGACAAGUCAGAUGUGAAAUCCCCGGGCUUAACCUGGGAACUGCAUUUGAAACUGUCAGGCUGGAGUCUUGUAGAGGGGGGUGGAAUUCCAGGUGUAGCGGUGAAAUGCGUAGAGAUCUGGAGGAAUACCGGUGGCGAAGGCGGCCCCCUGGACAAAGACUGACGCUCAGGUGCGAAAGCGUGGGGAGCAAACAGGAUUAGAUACCCGCGUAGUCCCUGUCUCUUAUAC
RNAcentral lists this ribosomal RNA (301 nucleotides) under uncultured bacterium. Its description in RNAcentral is "partial 16S ribosomal RNA". It matches the Rfam family "Bacterial small subunit ribosomal RNA", at positions 509 to 807 of the family's 1533-position model. The record is from RNAcentral.